This is a long non-coding RNA of Balaenoptera musculus (blue whale), 850 nucleotides long. RefSeq lists it as uncharacterized. The record is from RefSeq and is a predicted model, not a curated record. The transcript is spliced from 4 exons. NCBI's taxonomy places the organism in Eukaryota, Metazoa, Chordata, Mammalia, Artiodactyla, Balaenopteridae.
ACUACAUCUGCUUCUCAUUCUCUCAUGAAAUGAGUUCCUUGUCAUAAACUCCCCACAGUCUCCCUUUGAUCACAACUCUGACAGUUCAAACCCUGCAUGCUAUUCCAGGUUCCACUUAUGGGUAGGAGGCCUUCCCCAGCAGAUGUGAAGGCAAACAUAUUCUUUCUCCCCAUGCUGUGGUAUCCUGGAGACUGGUGAGCUGGAGCUAGGAUGCCAUGACAUCAGCUCCUGGACCUGAGCUGGCACAGAGCCUGCCCAGGCAGUGUUUGCCGAGAGGAUGAAUAAAAGAGGGUCACCUUCCUUUUGACUCCUUGGGGUGAGUCUUCAACCUUCUUUGGAAGAAGAUUUGGAAGUGAGGAAGAGAAAGCUAUGGGUCAGCUCAGACUCUGGAUGUCGACCACCUCUGCUCCCUCCCAGUUCCCCUGCCCGAGGCCCUGCAGUCCUGAGGGGGGCUGAACACGAGCAGACCAGGAGCUGGAGGAUGGAAUGUGUCCCCUUCUAGCAAUGCCUUUUGGAAAAUGCAGAGUGGAACACGAGCCAAAGCAGUUGUGUGUGAGGAAAGCAAUUGAGAGGCUCACAGAAUCCCCAGGAAGAAGAACACUCGGACCUUCUAAAGGCACAGGGACAAAAGGAAGAACCACAAGCAAAAUCACUCCCCAGAACUACUGCUGAUGCCCUGCUGGCUCCUGGGUGUCACCCAGUGGCACUGCGGCCGUACAGCUGCCGGACCCAGGUCGCUGCCCAGACCAGAAUCAGGGAGACCUGAUUCAUAGACCUGGCAGACCGCUGCUGGGAGACUUAGGGGUGACAUGAGUCCUCAAAGGACCCACCAGCUGGCUAGGUGGGGUCA